Molecule: ribosomal RNA, 497 nt
Filed under: uncultured bacterium
Lineage: Bacteria
Description: partial 16S ribosomal RNA
Rfam family: Bacterial small subunit ribosomal RNA
Source: RNAcentral
GAUGAACGCUGGCGGCGUGCCUAAUACAUGCAAGUCGAGCGAACAGACGAGGAGCUUGCUCCUCUGACGUUAGCGGCGGACGGGUGAGUAACACGUGGAUAACCUACCUAUAAGACUGGGAUAACUUCGGGAAACCGGAGCUAAUACCGGAUAAUAUAUUGAACCGCAUGGUUCAAUAGUGAAAGACGGUUUUGCUGUCACUUAUAGAUGGAUCCGCGCCGCAUUAGCUAGUUGGUAAGGUAACGGCUUACCAAGGCAACGAUGCGUAGCCGACCUGAGAGGGUGAUCGGUCACACUGGAACUGAGACACGGUCCAGACUCCUACGGGAGGCAGCAGUAGGGAAUCUUCCGCAAUGGGCGAAAGCCUGACGGAGCAACGCCGCGUGAGUGAUGAAGGUCUUCGGAUCGUAAAACUCUGUUAUUAGGGAAGAACAAAUGUGUAAGUAACUAUGCACGUCUUGACGGUACAUAAUCAGAAAGCCACGGCUAACUACGUG